AGGGCACCACCAGGAGUGGAGCCUGCGGCUUAAUUUGACUCAACACGGGGAAACUCACCCGGCCCGGACACCGUAAGGAUUGACAGAUUGAUAGCUCCUUCAUAAUUCGGCGGAUGGUGGUGCAUGGCCGUUCUUAGUUCGUGGAGCGAUUUGUCUGGUUUAUUCCGAUAACGAGCGAGACUCUAGCCUACUAAAUAGUUCGCACAUUGUCUCUGUGUGUGUGACUUCUUAGAGGGAUUUUCGGUGUUCAGCCGCACGAAAUUGAGCAAUAACAGGUCUGUGAUGCCCUUAGAUGUCCGGGGCUGCACGCGCGCUACACUGGCAAAAUCAGCGUGCUUGUCCUUCCCCGAAAGGGGUUGGUAAACCCUUGAAAAUUUGCCGUGAUUGGGAUUGGAAAUUGCAAUUAUUUUCCAUGAACGAGGAAUUCCAAGUAAGUGCGAGUCAUCAGCUCGCGUUGAUUACGUCCCUGCCCUGUGUACACACCGCCCGUCGCUGCCCGGGACUGAGCCAUUUCGAGAA
This 519-nucleotide ribosomal RNA is filed under the name uncultured eukaryote. RNAcentral's name for it is "SSU rRNA". It matches the Rfam family "Eukaryotic small subunit ribosomal RNA", at positions 1161 to 1705 of the family's 1831-position model. The record is from RNAcentral.